UCGAAAGAUGGGCUGAUAAUUCAAAUCAUCUUAGUGGAGGGAUAAAGGAUGAAACACUUUUAAGGUAUCUUGAUGAAUUAUGAGUAGUCAAGAUAACCUAGUGAUGCCGCGACAUUAAAUCAGGCGCUGCUUGGGAGGCAACCCAAGGUAUUUUGUUGUUUAUAUUCGUAUUAUGUGAUUGACAUCAGAUCUUCGAACCCAUGGUACCACAGGUAUGUUUCUAACUCUCUUGUUUUGGUUUGAUGCAUUGGGGACAUUGCAUGGAUUUAAGUUGAGGGUGAGGCUACUUGUGGGUGUUGAUGUCCUCUUGGGGUUUUUGUUGCCGUGCCUAUUUUCCCUAGAGUCUUGUUCCUAGUAGAGCCGGAAUGUUUAGGCAUAUUGUGUUUUAUUUUGUGAUGUGUUCUGGUUAACUGGGAGAAAAAUAAGUAUCUACGGCAGUUGACAUAUUUUUGUUGAUUUAUUUUAGGAAUGAUAAAUACCUCUUCAAUUUUCUACUUUGUAACUGUGUGAUAUGCAUUUAUGUGUGACCACUGUGCAUCUUGUUAUGGCAUUAGUACUAGUGACAUGAUAACCAUUGCUAAACAAUUACAUGAAUCGAAUGGGUAGUAGCUUGUGACCAGAACUUGCCCGGUUGGUCUUGCCUUAGUUGUAGGAUAACGGUUAGUAAAGGAUCAUAGGCCAUUGUUGAUAUUAGUCCACUUUUAGCCUAAAUGACCUUCCAUGUGUGAAUAAUAUUCCUUUAUCCUGAUUUUAAGCCUGAAUGCCUAUUCUUUUUAUUAUACCUAUCACCUUCCCAUUUGUAUCACAAUGAACCUGUUUGGGCCCUGGUCCUCCUUGGACAUUGUGCACUUUGACAUAGACAAAUAGCCUAAGUUAAGGGUGGCUACCAUAGGGGUGCGUGAUGUAAAAUGAGUAUGAAGAAAAGUAGAAUAAAAGAAAAGAAUAAAAAGUUGGGUGUGGUGGAAAAAGAAUAAGAAAAAAAGUGGUGAAAAAGAAGAAAUGAUUGUCAAAAAGACCGCACCCAUCCGGAGUAUAUGUGAUCAAGAAAGGAGAGAAUUAGGCAAAGGUAAAUAAGUGAGACCCUAAAAGUGAGUAGUUCCAAGGUGGCUUAGUUACCUUAAAUAUCAUCGAGUAUCACACCAGCCCUUAGCCUACGUUACAAACCGAAGAAAAAGACCUAUAGUGAUCUUAGCUUACCUGUCUGAAAACCUUGGUAAUGAAAAUAAGGGCAAGCUUAUGGUAUUCGGCAUACAUAGACUGGAAUUUCUUUCUGAGAGUGAGUGUCUCUUGACUAUCCCCGCAUUGACAUACUUGAGUUCACAUAUGAGUGAGGAGGGAAUUCUUUGUUGUAAGGGCAUACUAGUUAUGUUGCUUGUUUCUAACUUAUUUGGAUAGUAUAAUAUUGGUACAUGCAUGGUUGUUGUUGCUGAAUUGAUGCCAUAUUUUGAUUCCUGUGUGUCGCAUGGUUGUCCUUCAAUAAUAUGCACAGUUGUUUUUUUUAAAUUAAUUGACCUUGGAGAUGGUGAAGAUGUUUUGAGAUAAUAUAGAUGGUUGACUACCGAAUGUACUUUGUAUCCUCUUGUUUGUGUUUUAGUUACUUGAGGACAAACAAUUGUUUUAAGUUGAGGGUGUUGAUGCGUGAGCAAAUGCUAACAUAUUUGAGGCUUUUAACUGAGAAUAAUUGCAAAGUCUUAAGCAACUUUUGUCGUUUUUGAUUGUUUUCUCUUGAUAUUGCAGUAAAAGUUAAGAUGCAACAGAACCAGCAAUAAUGUAAGUAAAAGAGUUGAUUUCUGAGCAAGUAGAG
RNAcentral lists this long non-coding RNA (1804 nucleotides) under Capsicum annuum. RNAcentral's name for it is "long non-coding RNA (CANN_LNC018943)". Lineage: Eukaryota; Viridiplantae; Streptophyta; Magnoliopsida; Solanales; Solanaceae. The record is from RNAcentral.